UGCUACUUUGCUGACGAGCGGCGGACGGGUGAGUAAUGCUUGGGAACAUGCCUUGAGGUGGGGGACAACAGUUGGAAACGACUGCUAAUACCGCAUAAUGUCUACGGACCAAAGGGGGCUUCGGCUCUCGCCUUUAGAUUGGCCCAAGUGGGAUUAGCUAGUUGGUGAGGUAAUGGCUCACCAAGGCGACGAUCCCUAGCUGGUUUGAGAGGAUGAUCAGCCACACUGGGACUGAGACACGGCCC
RNAcentral lists this ribosomal RNA (245 nucleotides) under Pseudoalteromonas sp. 1827. RNAcentral describes it as "partial 16S ribosomal RNA". It matches the Rfam family "Bacterial small subunit ribosomal RNA", at positions 78 to 332 of the family's 1533-position model. The record is from RNAcentral. Lineage: Bacteria; Pseudomonadati; Pseudomonadota; Gammaproteobacteria; Alteromonadales; Pseudoalteromonadaceae.